This 751-nucleotide non-coding RNA is filed under the name Notochthamalus scabrosus. Lineage: Eukaryota; Metazoa; Arthropoda; Thecostraca; Balanomorpha; Chthamalidae. The record is from RNAcentral.
GAUCGUUUAGGUCCGUGUUGUAGUUUUAGCUACUUGAUGGUCUUACAUGUAAAUUAACGUAUAAUUGUUGGGCCAUUUAUAAUCCCAAAAGAAAUUCUCAGUAGGAAAUAUUGGAAGAAAACGAAAGUUGUAUCCAGGUAAUCAUAAAAGAGUGGAAAAUAGCGUGCCAGCAGCCGCGGUUAUACGCAUGUUUUAAGUUAAAAUUUAUUUACGAGGUUUUGUUUAUACUUUAAAUUAAUGAAUUUGUCUCCAUUAUUAAGUAGAAUUUUAUUGGAUAAGAACAAUUUAUUUUGUUAAAACACAUUAGAUAGGUUGAUGAACCAGGAUUAGAUACCCUGUUACUUCUAUUAAUAUACCUCGGAUUAGUAAUACUUUAGAAAUUUAACGGAUUUGGCGGCAAGAUAGCCCAUUUAGAGGAACCUGCCCUAUAAAUGAUGAUCCACGAAUUACUUCACUCUCCCUAGUAAUCAGUUUGUAUACCGCUGUUGUCAGUCAGUUUCUUUAGAAAACUUUCAGUAAUGAUAAUUUCAUUGACUUCAAGUAAAGGUGCAGCUUAUGGGAAAGAAAGAGGUGGGUUACAAUUUUUAGAUAAAAACGGAUAGUAAUAUGAAAAAUUACUUGAAGGUGGAUUUAAUUGUAAGAUUUAUACUAGUCUGAUAUGAGCACUAACUUGUGUACACACCGCCCGUCGCUCUCCUUUAUAAAUGAGAUAAGUCGUAACAAGGUAAGUGUAAUGGAAAUUGUACUUGAA